AUUACUUUGGCAGAAUUAUGUGUUAGGUUUAGAACCUAAAUAAGGAUUUAGAAUCCAGGUAAUA
RNAcentral lists this transfer RNA (64 nucleotides) under Vietnamella dabieshanensis. RNAcentral describes it as "tRNA-Leu". Lineage: Eukaryota; Metazoa; Arthropoda; Insecta; Ephemeroptera; Ephemerellidae. The record is from RNAcentral. RNAcentral also lists the same sequence under 1 other name.